UGAUCUCGGCCCAAUCUCAGCUGGCAACUGUGAGUGCUGUGUUGGGAAUUGCCCACGGGAGUCACUGGGAUUAGGCUGUGAGCA
RNAcentral lists this microRNA precursor (84 nucleotides) under Petromyzon marinus (sea lamprey). RNAcentral's name for it is "microRNA pma-mir-216a precursor". Its record names the gene pma-mir-216a. It matches the Rfam family "mir-216 microRNA precursor family". Lineage: Eukaryota; Metazoa; Chordata; Hyperoartia; Petromyzontiformes; Petromyzontidae. The record is from miRBase by way of RNAcentral.